GCGGCGUGCCUAACACAUGCAAGUCGAACGAAGCACCUUACCGGAUUCUUCGGAUGAAAGUUUGGCGACUGAGUGGCGGACGGGUGAGUAACGCGUGGGUAACCUGCCCUGUACAGGGGGAUAACAGCUGGAAACGGCUGCUAAUACCGCAUAAGCGCACGAGGAGACAUCUCCUUGUGUGAAAAACUCCGGUGGUACAGGAUGGGCCCGCGUCUGAUUAGCUGGUUGGCAGGGUAACGGCCUACCAAGGCAACGAUCAGUAGCCGGUCUGAGAGGAUGAACGGCCACAUUGGAACUGAGACACGGUCCAAACUCCUACGGGAGGCAGCAGUGGGGAAUAUUGCACAAUGGGGGAAACCCUGAUGCAGCAACGCCGCGUGAGUGAAGAAGUAUUUCGGUAUGUAAAGCUCUAUCAGCAGGG
Molecule: ribosomal RNA, 421 nt
Filed under: uncultured Lachnospiraceae bacterium
Lineage: Bacteria; Bacillati; Bacillota; Clostridia; Lachnospirales; Lachnospiraceae
Description: bacterial SSU rRNA
Rfam family: Bacterial small subunit ribosomal RNA
Source: RNAcentral